Molecule: ribosomal RNA, 441 nt
Filed under: uncultured bacterium
Lineage: Bacteria
Description: partial 16S ribosomal RNA
Rfam family: Bacterial small subunit ribosomal RNA
Source: RNAcentral
CCUACGGGAGGCAGCAGUGGGGAAUAUUGCACAAUGGGGGGAACCCUGAUGCAGCGACGCCGCGUGGGUGAAGGAGUAUUUCGGUAUGUAAAGCCCUAUCAGCAGGGAAGAACAAUGACGGUACCUGACUAAGAAGCACCGGCUAAAUACGUGCCAGCAGCCGCGGUAAUACGUAUGGUGCAAGCGUGAUCCGGAUUUACUGGGUGUAAAGGGAGCGCAGGCGGGGCGUUAAGCCUGGUGUGAAAGUCCGCGGCCCAACCGCGGGACUGCAUUGGAAACUGGCGCGCUGGAGUGCCGGAGGGGUAGGCGGAAUUCCUAGUGUAGCGGUGAAAUGCGUAGAUAUUAGGAGGAACACCAGUGGCGAAGGCGGCCUACUGGACGGUGACUGACGCUGAGGCUCGAAAGCGUGGGGAGCAAACAGGAUUAGAUACCCGGGUAGUC